UGUGGAUGUGUCGUGUAGAAUUGGUGUACCAUUAAAUUUUCUCUUCUUUAGCAAGCUUCAAGAAUUUUUAAGUUUUGCUUAGUGUUUUUACUUUUUGCAACUACAACCUGAUUGAUAAUCCCAUAGCUGACAAAAUGGCAUGGUGAAGUUUUUGUUGAUCUAGUUGAUUAUUUCUCUUGUGAACUAUCUUAGCUGUGCAUGCUAAUACUUUGUACAAAUAAAAUGCACAGCCGCACACACAUAAAGAAAAAAGAGAAGGCAUGAUCAAGCAUUAAUUUCACUGUAUUUUUCAAUUAUUCUCGUUGAUCAUGCCUUCUUUUUCUGAAUAUGAAUGCGAAAUUUGUUUUAACUGGGCUAAAUGGUGAAAAAAGACCCAUAUAAUUGACCCCAACUAAUUUGGAAUUCAGGCUUAAUUUUUAACUUAUUAUCGUUGCUAUUGUUUUAAUUAUUCAAGAAGCUGUAGGAAUGGGAAUUUCUCUUAACUAUGGUAAUA
This 493-nucleotide unclassified non-coding RNA is filed under the name Hevea brasiliensis (rubber tree). The record is from RNAcentral. Lineage: Eukaryota; Viridiplantae; Streptophyta; Magnoliopsida; Malpighiales; Euphorbiaceae.